GUUUAUUGACAAUAUUUUGGGGCUGUUUUAUGUAAUUUUCGUGGCUGUUUUAUGACAAAAUUUUGGAGCUGCUUUAUGUAAUUUUCGUGGUUAUUUUGUGACUAUAUUUUGGAGCUAUUUGGUAUAACAUUUGUGGCUGUUUUGCGAUGAUAUUUUGGGGAUUGUUUUAUGGUCGUUAUGGACUGUUUUGUGGGCUGGAAUAUCGGGGGAUUGGCUGUAGUUGUUGUUGUUAUAUUAUGAAUAUACGGAAAUAAAGAAGUGUAUACAAGCAUUGGCAUCCGAAUGUAUAUUGGGCUGUUUUGGGAGUAAUUUAAGAAUGGAUUUAAGUCUAGUUUGAUAUGAAAUUGUUGGUGUUGUUGUUGUUGGUAUUUUGAUUGACGUUUGGCUAAGUUGGAAUUUUGAGGAUUGUUAAGUUUACAGGGGAAAUGCUGCCCAAUUUUCUCUAGAAUUUACGACGCGUUCUUAUAAUCUAUUAACUAAUGUUAAUAUGAAUUCUCCCGUGAAGGUAACAACGUGACAUUGGGGAGAGCAAGUGAACGAUAACAUAGCUAAACGACAAAGGUAGACAGGGAGGUGAGCUUGGUCCAGACCCUUAGUAGCUGUCAGCUGAUUGAGAGCACUCCAUUGUCCGGAGGUGCUUAUGAUUCUUCUUUUGGUAUAUAUGCAUAUUUUGGGCACGACGGAGUCUUGUUCCGUCUAUAUGUUUAGUAUGUCAGUAGAGGCUCGUAGAUACGCAGUGUGGGUCAGAUGGUCUCACAAUAUGUUAUUAUUAUGUAUAUAUUAUUUUGA
Lycium barbarum (goji berry) is the source of this 789-nucleotide long non-coding RNA. RefSeq lists it as uncharacterized. The record is from RefSeq and is a predicted model, not a curated record. NCBI's taxonomy places the organism in Eukaryota, Viridiplantae, Streptophyta, Magnoliopsida, Solanales, Solanaceae. The transcript has 2 exons.